AUUGACCUCGGAUCAGGUAGGGAUACCCGCUGAACNUAAGCAUA
Molecule: ribosomal RNA, 44 nt
Filed under: Ramalina culbersoniorum
Lineage: Eukaryota; Fungi; Ascomycota; Lecanoromycetes; Lecanorales; Ramalinaceae
Description: partial 25S ribosomal RNA
Source: RNAcentral